GCCGGUGAGCGUGAGCGUGGGCGCCGUGGACGGGUCGCCCUCGUUGAAGGAGGCGACGCCGUACAUGGUGAGGCAGACGCUGAGGAUGGUGACGAGCCCGGCGGCGCCCAGGGCGCCCGCCUGGCCGUGCACGGGCGUGUUGCGGAGCGGGCCGGUGAGGGCGAAGGGGCCCACGAGGAGGUAGCCGUGCGCAAGCCCGACCUCGAUGCCGCGGAGCAGCGGGCUCACGGCGGUGCGGUAGGCCGGGAGGUUGGAGAGGUACCAGGCGAUGAGCGGGCUGGAGGUGAUGGGCGUCUCCAGGCUGCCGAUGAAGGGGUCGCCGUUGAUGGGCUGCACCACCUGGUACGUUGUCUGCUCAAGAACAACAGACAGUUUCUAUCAUCAGAGCCAAAGAAUUUUGUUUGAUCAUACAAAGAUAUAUUAUUGAAUUGCUAAUGUUCAGAGCAUCAAAUUGUAUAUCCAAUUUCCAGUCCUGUGAGAUAGAUCAAAAUGAAUCACACAAGAUGACUGAACUGAAAUCAAGAUUCUAGCAGCAGCACACAUGCAAAGAACUGAUCGAUUUGGAAGCAUUUUGAAUGAAAUUGAUAAUUCAUGUUGCCUAUAGCCAAGAGCCAAAUCGAUCAAAACUAUAAAAAAGAUGCAUCACUAUUUCGUUGCUCAGUAGAUCCACUGACCUUCUCAGGCUGGAUGGCCUUCACGGUGAAGCGGGGCCGCCUGGUCAGCGCAGCGCCUGAAAGGCCCCUGGGCCUCGAGUGCACCAAGCCGCUCUUCAUCACCUGGCUCGCCAUGGGAG
RNAcentral lists this long non-coding RNA (793 nucleotides) under Setaria italica (foxtail millet). RNAcentral describes it as "long non-coding RNA (SITA_LNC002363)". The record is from RNAcentral. Lineage: Eukaryota; Viridiplantae; Streptophyta; Magnoliopsida; Poales; Poaceae.